UGGGGGAUAUUGCGCAAUGGGGGCAACCCUGACGCAGCAACGCCGCGUGAAGGAUGACGGCCUUCGGGUUGUAAACUUCUGUCGCAAGGGAAGAAGAAAGUGACGGUACCUUGUGAGAAAGCCACGGCUAACUACGUGCCAGCAGCCGCGGUAAUACGUAGGUGGCGAGCGUUGUCCGGAUUUACUGGGUGUAAAGGGCGCGUAGGCGGAUUUGCAAGUCAGAUGUGAAAUGCCGGGGCUUAACCCCGGAACUGCAUUUGAAACUGUAAACCUUGAGUGCCGGAGAGGAAAGCGGAAUUCCUAGUGUAGCGGUGAAAUGCGUAGAUAUUAGGAGGAACACCGGUGGCGAAGGCGGCUUUCUGGACGGUAACUGACGCUGAGGCGCGAAAGUGUGGGUAGCAAACAGG
This 407-nucleotide ribosomal RNA is filed under the name uncultured bacterium. Its description in RNAcentral is "bacterial SSU rRNA". It matches the Rfam family "Bacterial small subunit ribosomal RNA", at positions 355 to 776 of the family's 1533-position model. The record is from RNAcentral.